AUUGAACGCUAGCGGUAUGCUUUACACAUGCAAGUCGAACGAGUGGCGGACGGGUGAGUAAUAUAUCGGACCGUGCCCUGUCGCGGGGGAUAACUACUCGAAAGAUUCGCUAAUACCGCAUACUCUUGGAGCGGCCGAUAUCGGAUUAGCUAGUUGGGGGGGUAAAGGCGCACCAAGGCCACGAUCCGUAGCUGGUCUGAGAGGACGACCAGCCACACUGGGACUGAGACACGGCCCAGACUCCUACGGGAGGCAGCAGUGGGGAAUAUUGGACAAUGGGGGAAAGCCUGAUCCAGCCAUACCGCGUGUAUGAGAAGGCCUUCGGGUUGUAAAGUACUUUUGGCAGGGAAGCGGUAUCUAAAGAAGAAGCACCGGCUAACUACGUGCCAGCAGCCGCGGUAAUUC
RNAcentral lists this ribosomal RNA (405 nucleotides) under uncultured bacterium. RNAcentral's name for it is "partial 16S ribosomal RNA". It matches the Rfam family "Bacterial small subunit ribosomal RNA", at positions 30 to 526 of the family's 1533-position model. The record is from RNAcentral.